Molecule: ribosomal RNA, 482 nt
Filed under: uncultured bacterium
Lineage: Bacteria
Description: partial 16S ribosomal RNA
Rfam family: Bacterial small subunit ribosomal RNA
Source: RNAcentral
GACGAACGCUGGCGGCGUGCUUAACACAUGCAAGUCGAACGAUGAAGAAGAGCUUGCUCUUCGGAUUAGUGGCGAACGGGUGAGUAACACGUGACUAACCUGCCCCUUUCUCUGGGAUAACGCUCCGAAAGGAGUGCUAAUACCGGAUACUCACAUCGAGGCACAUGCCUUGAUGUGGAAAGUUUUUCGGAAAGGGAUGGAGUCGCGGCCUAUCAGCUUGUUGGUGAGGUAACGGCUCACCAAGGCGACGACGGGUAGCCGGCCUGAGAGGGCGACCGGCCACACUGGGACUGAGACACGGCCCAGACUCCUACGGGAGGCAGCAGUGGGGAAUAUUGCACAAUGGGCGAAAGCCUGAUGCAGCGACGCCGCGUGAGGGAUGAAGGUCUUCGGAUUGUAAACCUCAUUCAGUAGGGACGAAGCGAAAGCGACGGUACCUAAAGAAGAAGCACCGGCUAACUACGUGCCAGCCGCCGCGGUAA